RNAcentral lists this ribosomal RNA (582 nucleotides) under Triticum aestivum (bread wheat). RNAcentral describes it as "partial small subunit ribosomal RNA". The record is from RNAcentral. Lineage: Eukaryota; Viridiplantae; Streptophyta; Magnoliopsida; Poales; Poaceae.
AUGUAUCGCAUCUUUCAUAACCCAUUUCCACACAUUGGUGACAAGGACAAGGUGCAUGCCCAUCUUGUGGAUAUGAUGCUCAUUUGUGAGGAGGUCCGCCACUCUCAGUCGCAACCACUUGAUGUCUCAUAUAUCAUAUGGUGCGAGCUUCGGUUUGUGAUGUUCACCCGUAAGAAGCUCUAUCCCGAUGAUGAGUUUCUUGCCUUUACCCGGAUUCGUCAUGAGCCCAUCAAGCUCCGUGUCAAGCCCCAGUGGGCCAACACUACUACCCGUGCCGAGUCAGCGGCUGCUCAGAUGGAUGUGGAUGCAGAUGAGAUUGAGGAGGAGGACGCCGAUGAGGACAGCUCUGCUGGCUACUCGCCUUCAUCUUCUGAGCCCUCUUGGGCUAAGAAGCUGAAGAACAAGAUGAAGGCUCUGUUCUACAUGCAGGCCAAGGAGCAGUACCGGUCUCAUGUUGCUCAGAAGGAGAGUCGACGCCGCGACAAGCAGAUCUUGAGGACGUUUGGUGAGCAGAUAUCCAUCGGGUCUGAGAGGGUCAUCACGUCAGAGGCAGCUUGCGAAGUAGGGCUACCAGUGGAUUGA